Molecule: ribosomal RNA, 1986 nt
Filed under: Triticum aestivum (bread wheat)
Lineage: Eukaryota; Viridiplantae; Streptophyta; Magnoliopsida; Poales; Poaceae
Description: partial small subunit ribosomal RNA
Source: RNAcentral
AUGGCUGAAGGGCCGUUGGACUUCUGGAUUAACUGGGCGAGCCAGAUCGGGGUUCUCUUGAGCCUGGCCUUCCAGGUCAUCCUCCAUCUCUUCGCCAAUGUACGUCGGCGUAGUAACUCAGCUAUGCUGAGGGUUCCCCUCUGGCUGGCGUACCAGCUGUCGGACAUGACCGCGAUAUAUGCUGCCGGCCAGCUCCUAUACAGCAGCAACACACCACAAGACCACCAGCUCAUUGCCUUGUGGGCGCCAUUCCUCCUGCUGCACCUUGGUGGCCCGGACAACAUCACCGCCUAUGCCCUCGAGGAUAGCAAGCUCUGGAAACGCCACUUGCUGAUCCUUGUGGUGCAAGUUGCGGGAGCCGGAUAUGUCCUCUACAAGUAUAUCGCCGGCAGCGAGAUCUUCCUCACACUGGCUGCCAUCUUAAUACUCGUUGUUGGUGUUGCAAAGUAUGGUGAGAGGACAUGGGCACUCCGGUCGGCCAACUUCAGCAUCCUCCAGAGCUCUCUCAAGACAACCAAAGAAAAUAACAAAACAAAGAGCUCUCUCAAGGUACCAAGACGUGACCAACAUUUUUAUAAAGAAUGGUACAACGACUUGCCCGACGAGCGCAUUUUGCAGCGUGCUCACUCCCUUUUUUAUAUCUGCAAGCGUGGGAUAGUUGAUUCAGUGCUUGAGAUAGACGACUCAGAUACCCGGAGUAAGGUAACAAUCAAGGAACAUAGGGAAGUCCCUCAGAAAAUGUGGAGGGUGAUGGAGAUGGAACUGUCCCUCAUGUAUGAUAUCCUGUACACCAAAGCAAACGUGAUCCACUCUUGGGUGGGGUAUUGCAUCCGUAUCAUCUCGCCGCUCGCUGUCAUUGCCUCACUCGUGUUGUUUCAAUUGAGCAACAAAGAUGGUUACAGCCAAGUGGAUGUUGUCAUCACAUACGCCUUGUUAGGUGGUGCCUUGGUCCUGGAGACGAAAUCGCUCGUUGGCGCACUAGGGUCGAGCUGGGCGCUUGGCUUCUUGUGCGCCACACGAUUGGAUUGGCUCCGGCAUUCAGCUCUGUGCACUGGAAGAUGGUAUCGGCUACGGCGCACACUUCUUUCUCUUCGCCGGUCCUGGCCUGGCAAGAUGAUCAUGACAGGAUGUUCAAGGAGGUGGUCAGGCACCAUAGGUCAGCACAACAUGUUGCAGUUUCGUGCUGGACAGGUGGAUCAGAUGAGUCGCCGGCCCGGCCAUCUAUUCAAGAUGCUGAGGCCCGGUGAGUGGUGGGAUAGGAGGCACUUGAGGACCAUCGAUGUCUCUGAGAAGGUCAAGAAGUGUGCAGGGGGGUGGCUGGUCUCAACGGGUGAUAUGAACACAAUGGGCCUGCGGAGGACUAAAUGGGGUGAACUGGCACUGAAUGACGAGGAGUACCCUGAACUCUUGAAGGACUUGGAGUAUUAUAAGUUAGUUGACUUCCAUGAGAGCGUCAUCUGCUGGCACAUCGCCACCGACUUAAUCCUAGCUAAAAAAGAUCAAUGGGGCAACGACGAGGUGGAGGUGGUCCGUGUACUGUCCAACUACAUGAUGUUCCUCCUCGUGGACUCCCCCGACAUGCUACCAGGCCUUCCCCAAAAUUGGUUGUAUGAGCAAACCUGCAUACAACUGGACACGAUAUGUGAACACGUUGCCGGUUCUGCUGGCAACAGAGUCUGCACUGUGCUCAUUAACUUGUUCCGAUCACACCAUCACCGUGACUGGAAACCUUCUGAACUUGAGAAGAAGAUCGCCAGUGCUAUACUGAAGAAGGAAGGACCUACUAACUCUGAAAAUCCUCGGCUCAAUUAUGCAAGUUUUAUUGCUACCACACUGCUUAAUAGGAAGGAAAAUGUGGUUAAGUUGCUGCUGAAGCUGUGGUUGGACUUCCUGGCCUAUGCAGCCAACCGGUGCAACAGGGAGGCGCAUGCGAGGAAACUCAGCAGCGGCGGUGAGUUUCUGACUAUCAUGUGGCUUUAUCUAUAA